GAUGAACGCUAGCGGCAGGCUUAAUACAUGCAAGUCGUGGGGCAGCACGGGUAGCAAUACCUGGUGGCGACCGGCAAACGGGUGCGGAACACGUACGCAACCUUCCUUCAAGUGGGGAAUAGCCCCAGAGAAAUUUGGAUUAAUACCCCGUAAUAUUAUGAGGUGGCAUCAUCUUAUAAUUAUAGCUACGGCGCUUGGAGAUGGGCGUGCGCCUGAUUAGGUAGUUGGCGGGGUAACGGCCCACCAAGCCUUCGAUCAGUAACUGGUGUG
RNAcentral lists this ribosomal RNA (270 nucleotides) under uncultured bacterium. Its description in RNAcentral is "partial 16S ribosomal RNA". It matches the Rfam family "Bacterial small subunit ribosomal RNA", at positions 28 to 294 of the family's 1533-position model. The record is from RNAcentral.